Molecule: ribosomal RNA, 317 nt
Filed under: uncultured bacterium
Lineage: Bacteria
Description: bacterial SSU rRNA
Rfam family: Bacterial small subunit ribosomal RNA
Source: RNAcentral
GAUGAACGCUAGCGGCAGGCCUAACACAUGCAAGUCGAGGGGUAUUAGGAGCUUGCUCCUAAGAGACCGGCGCACGGGUGCGUAACGCGUAUGCAAUCUACCUUGUACAGGGGAAUAGCCUUUGGAAACAGGGAUUAAUACCGCAUAAAGCAGGGACACCGCAUGGUGAUAUUGCUAAAGAUUUAUCGGUGAUAGAUGGGCAUGCGUCUGAUUAGUUAGUUGGCAGGGUAACGGCCUACCAAGACGAUGAUCAGUAGGGGGCGUCAGAGCGUGGUCCCCCACACUGGCACUGAGAUACGGGCCAGACUCGUGAUGCU